This 564-nucleotide ribosomal RNA is filed under the name Penicillium griseofulvum. RNAcentral describes it as "eukaryotic LSU rRNA". The stretch from base 211 to 363 matches the Rfam family "5.8S ribosomal RNA". The record is from RNAcentral. Lineage: Eukaryota; Fungi; Ascomycota; Eurotiomycetes; Eurotiales; Aspergillaceae.
UCCUUCCGUAGGUGAACCUGCGGAAGGAUCAUUACCGAGUGAGGGCCCUCUGGGUCCAACCUCCCACCCGUGUUUAUUUUACCUUGUUGCUUCGGCGGGCCCGCCUUAACUGGCCGCCGGGGGGCUUACGCCCCCGGGCCCGCGCCCGCCGAAGACACCCUCGAACUCUGUCUGAAGAUUGUAGUCUGAGUGAAAAUAUAAAUUAUUUAAAACUUUCAACAACGGAUCUCUUGGUUCCGGCAUCGAUGAAGAACGCAGCGAAAUGCGAUACGUAAUGUGAAUUGCAAAUUCAGUGAAUCAUCGAGUCUUUGAACGCACAUUGCGCCCCCUGGUAUUCCGGGGGGCAUGCCUGUCCGAGCGGCAUUGCUGCCCUCAAGCACGGCUUGUGUGUUGGGCCCCGUCCUCCGAUCCCGGGGGACGGGCCCGAAAGGCAGCGGCGGCACCGCGUCCGGUCCUCGAGCGUAUGGGGCUUUGUCACCCGCUCUGUAGGCCCGGCCGGCGCUUGCCGAUCAACCCAAAUUUUUAUCCAGGUUGACCUCGGAUCAGUAAGGAUCCCAGGAUGCA